RNAcentral lists this ribosomal RNA (484 nucleotides) under uncultured bacterium. Its description in RNAcentral is "partial 16S ribosomal RNA". It matches the Rfam family "Bacterial small subunit ribosomal RNA", at positions 30 to 507 of the family's 1533-position model. The record is from RNAcentral.
AUUGAACGCUGGCGGCAGGCCUAACACAUGCCAGUCGAGCGGAUGAAGGGAGCUUGCUCCUGGAUUCAGCGGCGGACGGGUGAGUAAUGCCUAGGAAUCUGCCUGGUAGUGGGGGAUAACGUCCGGAAACGGGCGCUAAUACCGCAUACGUCCUGAGGGAGAAAGUGGGGAAUCUUCGGACCUCACGCUAUCAGAUGAGCCUAGGUCGGAUUAGCUAGUUGGUGGGGUAAAGGCCUACCAAGGCGACGAUCCGUAACUGGUCUGAGAGGAUGAUCAGUCACACUGGAACUGAGACACGGUCCAGACUCCUACGGGAGGCAGCAGUGGGGAAUAUUGGACAAUGGGCGAAAGCCUGAUCCAGCCAUGCCGCGUGUGUGAAGAAGGUCUUCGGAUUGUAAAGCACUUUAAGUUGGGAGGAAGGGCAGUAAGUUAAUACCUUGCUGUUUUGACGUUACCAACAGAAUAAGCACCGGCUAACUUCGUG